This is a long non-coding RNA of Meleagris gallopavo (turkey), 2380 nucleotides long. The record is from Ensembl. Lineage: Eukaryota; Metazoa; Chordata; Aves; Galliformes; Phasianidae.
CGAAGGUGUUAGAAAUGCUCAAAGUGCACAUUUGGGUGGGGGCGAGGUCUGGAGGAAAAGGUGAGCUCAGUUCUAUGAUGUUGCAUAAUGGAGCGGCAACCUUUGUCACCUGGAGGAUGGGAAUAUCAUUGAGAGCACAGAUGUGGAGCAACAAAACCUUCCCGCAGCUCCCUUUGUAUUUUUGUCUUAUGAACUUUGAAUUGAACUUCUGCGCCGGCUCUGAUCUGGCAACAGGCUCCCUCACCGGGAGAGGAUGGCACAGGUGAAGACAACGGCGGACAAAAGGCAAAAAAAAUCACAGCCCACAUUGAAGAUCAAACCUUUAUCAGAGCCUUCAGCGACCUGGCAGCUUGGAGGCUUCUGCUUUUGAUUCCAGGAAAGCGGAGCAGCAAAAUUAAAGCCUGCAAAACCUAUUGAGAAUAAAUUGGAUGUGUCCGCACCGCCUGUGUUUUGACAGCGCUUGAGGUGGGGAGGCUUGGCGCUGGGAGGGCCGGGUGUGAGCUCCAAGCUCUGCAUCCCACGGCCCAGCUGGGAUUGCUGAGAAGCAGAACCCUCCAGCAGGAUGGAGGGAGGACUGAAGGGGAUGGAACUCCUGUGUCUUUUUGCCAGGGACUCCUCUGGUUCUCCGGAAAAACAACAAAGACUCACAGGUUGCCUUGAAAAACUCUGCCUAGUGCAGGCGGCUUCUUUGCCUUCAGGCUGGGAUAGUUUGUGCCAGCCAGAAAGGAGAAAACUGUUCUAUGUUUCCUCCCAGUUCCAUAUCACCUAAUGGCUGUAAGUUGCACCAGGGGAGGUUCAGAUUGGAUAUUAGGAAGCAUUUCUUCUUUGGAAGAGUGGCAAUGUGUUGGCACAGCUGCCCAGCAGUGGUGGGGUCACCAUCCCUGGAGGUGUUCAGUGGAGAUGUGGCAUUGAGGGACGUAGGCAGUGGGCAUGGAGGGCUGGGCUGGGGUUGGGCUUGGGGACUCGGAGGUCUUUUCCAGCCUUAAUGAUUCUAUGAGUCUAUGAUUGAGAAAGGGGCCGUGGCUUCUGUUUCGUGAGCGUACGACUGGGGCACACUGCAUCCUCCAGUGGAAGCAGCUCCUCUUACAAAUUGCAAAGGUGAAAUCGCAAAUCUGGCAACGACUGCUGGCAGCAAAUGGAUUGUUCCCUGGCUGAGAUGUGUACAAUCUCUAGGAGAAAAGGUGCUGUUUCCAGGUAAUUUCAGAAGAGGAAGGAGAAGAAGAGCAUCUGGCACCUUAGCUGUUUGCAACCACUUCCCCCUCAGCUCCGCUAGAGUUAACAGGUUGGCUGAAGCAAACAAAAUUCGGAAAUUUCACUUCUGAAUAAAGCAUGUGAGCCUGGCCCGGGAGUGGGCUGCUCUCUUCCUUUUAUGAAUCAGUCUCCAAGAUAUGCUCGCAUUCCUGAGAAACAAGCCUGGAAUAACACGGCUGGCUUUUGGGUGCAACACACUGAUUGUGAGGAAGCAACAGUCUCUCGCGUAUGAAUUGCUUUUAUGUUGAAAUAGGUCAGAGCUAUAGCAUUCGUUGAAAAAUGGCUUUUUAAUGUGCUUUAUGGGCUGUCAGGGCAUAAUGAAUGUAAACCGUGGAUCUGGCUUCGUCGGAAUGAUAUUUUAUUUUUUUGCUUUAUCGACCAGACGCAAUGAAUCUCAGAUCAAUUAGUUGUGCUUUGAAGUUUGCUCUUGAUCCAGAUCUUCAAUAAAAAGGAAGUUUCCAAACCACUGGUCUGUGAACACUGUUUGUGAUUAAUUACCCUUUUAUAAUCUUAGGAAUUCUGGUCGUUGCUGUAUUUUGAAUACCUCAGACUGCACGGGGAGUUUUAUUUUGGCUGGUAUAUUUGGAAACUGCUAAUAAACACCUCCUUCCUGUUUUUCUUGCUACCGUGCAUAACAAAUUGUUAAAAAACUUGCUUUCCCAUUUCAGUCGCUCGCAUGUUCGACCAGACCUGAGCCACAUUAUUGGUUAAUCAAUGUCGUAUAUCAUCCGCCAGCAAGUUUUCUCAGCUGUUAAAGCAGGACUUUGUCUCUGGCUGUAACAAAAAGAAGUGAGUAACACUGCACGGCAAUAAAGCCAGAGGAAGAAACCUUACACCGAGUUUCUGCUAGAGACAAAUAGUGACUGAUAUGGUUUUAAAUCCGAAACCAAGUUUUAUGCAAAGCUUACUGAAACAACAGCCUGUUUUCCUGUCAAUGCCUGGGUUAAUUGGGGUGCAGGGACGGUCAUGGAUGUGGAGGGUUUGCCUCGCCCUGGGAAACGAUGCCGAGCAGUGCCUACGAGUGCAAACAUCUGUUUGGGCAACGAUUUUAAGGUUAAUAUCGUAUGGAGGAUGUUUGUUUAGACAGGAUGAAUGCUUUUGUGAAACCUAAUAUUAGGCUAUAUCUAGG